Molecule: ribosomal RNA, 779 nt
Filed under: Cryobacterium sp. N4_96_2
Lineage: Bacteria; Bacillati; Actinomycetota; Actinomycetes; Micrococcales; Microbacteriaceae
Description: bacterial SSU rRNA
Rfam family: Bacterial small subunit ribosomal RNA
Source: RNAcentral
CGAACGGUGAAGAGGAGCUUGCUCCUUGGAUCAGUGGCGAACGGGUGAGUAACACGUGAGCAAUCUGCCCUUGACUCUGGGAUAACUGCGGGAAACUGUAGCUAAUACCGGAUAUUACCUUGGAAGGCAUCUUCUGGGGUGGAAAGAAUUUUGGUCAAGGAUGAGCUCGCGGCCUAUCAGCUAGUUGGUGAGGUAAUGGCUCACCAAGGCGACGACGGGUAGCCGGCCUGAGAGGGUGACCGGCCACACUGGGACUGAGACACGGCCCAGACUCCUACGGGAGGCAGCAGUGGGGAAUAUUGCACAAUGGGCGCAAGCCUGAUGCAGCAACGCCGCGUGAGGGACGACGGCCUUCGGGUUGUAAACCUCUUUUAGUAGGGAAGAAGCGACUGGGUUUUCCUGGGAGUGACGGUACCUGCAGAAAAAGCACCGGCUAACUACGUGCCAGCAGCCGCGGUAAUACGUAGGGUGCAAGCGUUGUCCGGAAUUAUUGGGCGUAAAGAGCUCGUAGGCGGUUUGUCGCGUCUGCUGUGAAAACCCGAGGCUCAACCUCGGGCCUGCAGUGGGUACGGGCAGACUAGAGUGCGGUAGGGGAGAUUGGAAUUCCUGGUGUAGCGGUGGAAUGCGCAGAUAUCAGGAGGAACACCAAUGGCGAAGGCAGAUCUCUGGGCCGUAACUGACGCUGAGGAGCGAAAGCAUGGGGAGCGAACAGGAUUAGAUACCCUGGUAGUCCAUGCCGUAAACGUUGGGAACUAGAUGUGGGGACCAUUCCACGGUCU